AGUCCAACCUAAAGUAACUCAGAUUCCUAUUAAUCCCUCACCUUACUUUAGAGCAAUUCAAAUGAGGUACAGCCCGUUUGAAAAAGGAUACAACCUUCACUAACGGGUAAUACUUUACUUUCACCUUCAAGUAGGCUUAAGAGCAGCCACCUUUUUAAAAGCGUCAAAGCUUAAUUCUGUUUAAUACUAAUUUAAAAAACAACAUUGACCCCUUUAACUGUACUGAGAACUUCUAUAAUAAUAUAGAACCUUUUAUGCUAAAACUAGUAACAAGAGAAAACUCCUCUCUUUAAUGCCAACAUACGCCAACAGGAACCCCUCACUGGCAAUUAACAGACCUAAACAAAAGUAACAACCUCACUAGAAAAUCCUACUCUUACACCUGUUAACCUAACACCAGAGCAUUUCAAGAAAGAUUAAAAGAAAAAGAAGGAACUCGGCAAACCUUAGCCCCGCCUGUUUACCAAAAACAUCGCCUCUUGUCUUCAUAAGAGGUACAGCCUGCCCAGUGACUCUGUUCAACGGCCGCGGUAUCCUAACCGUGCAAAGGUAGCGUAAUCACUUGUUUUCUAAAUAAAGACUAGUAUGAAAGGCAUCACGAGGACUAAACUGUCUCCUUUUUCUAAUCAGUGAACCUAAUUUCCCCGUGAAGAAGCG
Molecule: ribosomal RNA, 657 nt
Filed under: Pristimantis anaiae
Lineage: Eukaryota; Metazoa; Chordata; Amphibia; Anura; Strabomantidae
Description: Pristimantis sp. a JAO-2021 partial large subunit ribosomal RNA
Rfam family: Archaeal large subunit ribosomal RNA (bases 414-657)
Source: RNAcentral